AUACGGAGGGUGCAAGCGUUACUCGGAAUCACUGGGCGUAAAGCGCGCGCAGGCGGCUUGAUAAGUUGGAUGUGAAAGCCUACGGCUCAACCGUAGAACUGCAUCCAAAACUGUCAAGCUAGAGUCUGGGAGGGGAAGAUGGAACUAGUUGUGUAGGGGUAAAAUCCGUAGAUAUCACUAGGAAUACCAAAAGCGAAGGCAAUCUUCUGGAACACUACUGACGCUGAGGCGCGAAGGCGUGGGGAGCAAACAGGAUUAGAAACCCCUGUAGUCC
This 274-nucleotide ribosomal RNA is filed under the name uncultured bacterium. Its description in RNAcentral is "partial 16S ribosomal RNA". It matches the Rfam family "Bacterial small subunit ribosomal RNA", at positions 523 to 796 of the family's 1533-position model. The record is from RNAcentral.